GACGAACGCUGGCGGCGUGCCUAAUACAUGCAAGUAGAACGCACAGUUUAUACCGUAGCUUGCUACACCAUAAACUGUGAGUUGCGAACGGGUGAGUAACGCGUAGGUAACCUGCCUGGUAGCGGGGGAUAACUAUUGGAAACGAUAGCUAAUACCGCAUAAUAUUGAUUAUUGCAUGAUAAUUGAUUGAAAGAUGCUAUUGCAUCACUACCAGAUGGACCUGCGUUGUAUUAGCUAGUAGGUGGGGUAACGGCUCACCUAGGCGACGAUACAUAGCCGACCUGAGAGGGUGAUCGGCCACACUGGGACUGAGACACGGCCCAGACUCCUACGGGAGGCAGCAGUAGGGAAUCUUCGGCAAUGGACGAAAGUCUGACCGAGCAACGCCGCGUGAGUGAAGAAGGUUUUCGGAUCGUAAAGCUCUGUUGUAAGAGAAGAACGGGUGUGAGAGUGGAAAGUUCACACUGUGACGGUAUCUUACCAGAAAGGGACGGCUAACUACGUG
RNAcentral lists this ribosomal RNA (505 nucleotides) under uncultured bacterium. RNAcentral's name for it is "partial 16S ribosomal RNA". It matches the Rfam family "Bacterial small subunit ribosomal RNA", at positions 28 to 507 of the family's 1533-position model. The record is from RNAcentral.